Molecule: long non-coding RNA, 258 nt
Filed under: Ricinus communis (castor bean)
Lineage: Eukaryota; Viridiplantae; Streptophyta; Magnoliopsida; Malpighiales; Euphorbiaceae
Description: long non-coding RNA (RCOM_LNC000628)
Source: RNAcentral
UAUAUUUAGAAAAUGGGUGUUGACAGACACCCCUAAGGUAUGAAACUGCGGUCUUCCCAAGAGUAUUGCAAAAGAGACACGUAUGUCUAAGACCACAGACUCAGACAUAGAUUCGAUGGGCCCUACUUUCACCAAAGCCUUAAAGAUUUCGCAAGCUUUCCUCUUUGACUAAUUAUAGCCUCUAAUGAUAGUGGAAGUGGGCUUGGGAUCAUCUUUCUCUAACCUAUACUUGCUCAGGAAUCUUAGGGGGCAUAUGUU